CAGCAGUGGGGUUUAUUAAACAAUGGGAGGAAGCCUGAUCCAGCGACGCCGCGUGGAGGAAGAAUCCCUUCGGGGUGUAAACUCUUUUUGUGGGGGAAAAAGGACGGAUGGUCCCGGAGGAAUAACCCCCGGCUAAGUACCAGCCAGCACGCUCGGUAAUAGGUAGGGGGCGAGCGUUGCCCGGAAUCACUGGGAAUAAAGGGUGGGUAGGCGGCCGAGUCUGUCUGGAGUAAAAUACCAUGACUCAACCGUGGGAAUGCGAUGGAAAGUACGUGGAUUGCGUGCGACAGAGGCAGAAUUAACUGUUGGUGUAGGGGUGAAAUCGAUAUAUAUCGGCACGACCGCCGGGGGAGAGGUUGCUUUGCUGGGCCCUAACGGACGGUGGGGCAAGAAAGGUAGGGGAACGAACCGGAUUAGAUCCCCGGGUAG
This 429-nucleotide ribosomal RNA is filed under the name uncultured bacterium. RNAcentral's name for it is "bacterial SSU rRNA". It matches the Rfam family "Bacterial small subunit ribosomal RNA", at positions 349 to 793 of the family's 1533-position model. The record is from RNAcentral.